UAACCGGAUUAGAUACCCUGGUAGUCCACGCUGUAAACGAUGUGCGCUGGAUGUUGGGUGGCCUAGCCACUCAGUGUCGUAGCUAACGCGAUAAGCGCACCGCCUGGGGAGUACGGCCGCAAGGUUGGAACUCAAAGGAAUUGACGGGGGCCCGCACAAGCGGUGGAGCAUGUGGUUUAAUUCGGAGCAACGCGCAGAACCUUACCAGGACUUGACAUGGGAGGGCCGCGUCCAGAGAUGGGCGUUUCCGCAAGGACCCUCUGCACAGGUGCUGCAUGGCUGUCGUCAGCUCGUGUCGUGAGAUGUUGGGUUAAGUCCCGCAACGAGCGCAACCCUCGCCUUCAGUUGCCAGCACGUUUGGGUGGGCACUCUGAAGGAACUGCCGGUGACAAGCCGGAGGAAGGUGGGGAUGACGUCAAGUCCUCAUGGCCCUUAUGUCCAGGGCUACACACGUGCUACAAUGGCCGGUACAAACCGCCGCAAACCCGCGAGGGGGAGCCAAUCGGAAAAAGCCGGCCUCAGUUCGGAUUGGAGUCUGCAACUCGACUCCAUGAAGCUGGAAUCGCUAGUAAUCGUGGAUCAGCAUGCCACGGUGAAUACGUUCCCGGGCCUUGUACACACCGCCCGUCACAUCACGAAAGUGGGUUGCACUAGAAGUCGGUGCGCUGACCGCAAGGGAGCAGCCGCCCAAGGUGUAAUUCAUGAUUGGGGUGAAGUCGUAACAAGGUAGCCGUA
RNAcentral lists this ribosomal RNA (735 nucleotides) under uncultured Acetobacteraceae bacterium. Its description in RNAcentral is "bacterial SSU rRNA". It matches the Rfam family "Bacterial small subunit ribosomal RNA", at positions 770 to 1504 of the family's 1533-position model. Lineage: Bacteria; Pseudomonadati; Pseudomonadota; Alphaproteobacteria; Acetobacterales; Acetobacteraceae. The record is from RNAcentral.